This 1004-nucleotide ribosomal RNA is filed under the name Sphingobacteriaceae bacterium 19-11PB. RNAcentral describes it as "bacterial SSU rRNA". It matches the Rfam family "Bacterial small subunit ribosomal RNA", at positions 118 to 1125 of the family's 1533-position model. Lineage: Bacteria; Pseudomonadati; Bacteroidota; Sphingobacteriia; Sphingobacteriales; Sphingobacteriaceae. The record is from RNAcentral.
UAUGCAACCUACCACCAUCAGGGGUAUAGCCCGAAGAAAUUCGGAUUAACACCGCAUGAAGACACAGUACCGCAUGGUACAAUGUCCAAAUAUUUAUAGGAUGGUGAUGGGCAUGCGUGCCAUUAGCUAGUUGGCGGGGUAACGGCCCACCAAGGCGACGAUGGCUAGGGGAUCUGAGAGGAUGGCCCCCCACACUGGUACUGAGACACGGACCAGACUCCUACGGGAGGCAGCAGUAAGGAAUAUUGGUCAAUGGGGGCAACCCUGAACCAGCCAUGCCGCGUGCAGGAAGACAGCCCUACGGGUCGUAAACUGCUUUUAUACGGGAAUAACCCUUUCCUCGUGAGGAGAGCUGAAGGUACCGUAAGAAUAAGGAUCGGCUAACUCCGUGCCAGCAGCCGCGGUAAUACGGAGGAUCCAAGCGUUAUCCGGAUUUAUUGGGUUUAAAGGGAGCGUAGGCGGCCCGCUAAGUCAGGGGUGAAAGACGGUGGCUCAACCAUCGCAGUGCCCUUGAUACUGGCAGGCUUGAAUAUAGUUGAGGUGGGCGGAAUGUGACAAGUAGCGGUGAAAUGCAUAGAUAUGUCACAGAACGCCGAUUGCGAAGGCAGCUCACCAAGCUAUUAUUGACGCUGAGGCUCGAAAGCGUGGGGAUCAAACAGGAUUAGAUACCCUGGUAGUCCACGCCCUAAACGAUGAUAACUCGAUGUUGGCGAUAUACAGUCAGCGUCCAAGCGAAAGCGUUAAGUUAUCCACCUGGGGAGUACGCCCGCAAGGGUGAAACUCAAAGGAAUUGACGGGGGCCCGCACAAGCGGAGGAGCAUGUGGUUUAAUUCGAUGAUACGCGAGGAACCUUACCCGGGCUUGAAAGUUACUGAAGGUACCAGAGACGGUACCGUCCUUCGGGACAGGAAACUAGGUGCUGCAUGGCUGUCGUCAGCUCGUGCCGUGAGGUGUUGGGUUAAGUCCCGCAACGAGCGCAACCCCUGUGUCCAGUUGCCAGCAUG